RNAcentral lists this ribosomal RNA (254 nucleotides) under uncultured bacterium. RNAcentral describes it as "partial 16S ribosomal RNA". It matches the Rfam family "Bacterial small subunit ribosomal RNA", at positions 524 to 776 of the family's 1533-position model. The record is from RNAcentral.
UACGUAGGGUGCAGGCGUUAAUCGGAAUUACUGGGCGUAAAGCGUGCGCAGGCGGCUCCUUAAGUCAGACGUGAAAUCCCUCGGCUUAACCGGGGAACUGCGUCUGAUACUGGAUGGCUUGAGGUUGGGAGAGGGAUGCGGAAUUCCAGGUGUAGCGGUGAAAUGCGUAGAUAUCUGGAGGAACACCGGUGGCGAAGGCGGCAUCCUGGACCAAUUCUGACGCUGAGUGAGCGAAAGCCAGGGGAGCAAACGGG